AACGAACGCUGGCGGCAUGCCUAACACAUGCAAGUCGAACGAAGGCUUCGGCCUUAGUGGCGCACGGGUGCGUAACGCGUGGGAAUCUGCCCUUUGGUUCGGAAUAACAGCUGGAAACGGCUGCUAAUACCGGAUGAUGACGAAAGUCCAAAGAUUUAUCGCCAGAGGAUGAGCCCGCGUUGGAUUAGGUAGUUGGUGGGGUAAAGGCCUACCAAGCCGACGAUCCAUAGCUGGUCUGAGAGGAUGAUCAGCCACACUGGGACUGAGACACGGCCCAGACUCCUACGGGAGGCAGCAGUGGGGAAUAUUGGACAAUGGGCGCAAGCCUGAUCCAGCAAUGCCGCGUGAGUGAUGAAGGCCCUAGGGUUGAAAAGCUCUUUUACCCGGGAAGAUAAUGACUGUACCGGGAGAAUAAGCCCCGGCUAACUCCGUG
RNAcentral lists this ribosomal RNA (433 nucleotides) under uncultured bacterium. RNAcentral describes it as "partial 16S ribosomal RNA". It matches the Rfam family "Bacterial small subunit ribosomal RNA", at positions 29 to 507 of the family's 1533-position model. The record is from RNAcentral.